GCUUAUUUAUUUUAAAUAAAAAAUUUUGAUUUGUGAUGUCAAAGAUCUCUAAGAGGAUAGGCU
This 63-nucleotide transfer RNA is filed under the name Neoalcathous huangshanana. RNAcentral's name for it is "tRNA-His". The record is from RNAcentral. Lineage: Eukaryota; Metazoa; Arthropoda; Insecta; Hemiptera; Fulgoridae.